This 459-nucleotide ribosomal RNA is filed under the name uncultured bacterium. Its description in RNAcentral is "partial 16S ribosomal RNA". It matches the Rfam family "Bacterial small subunit ribosomal RNA", at positions 338 to 795 of the family's 1533-position model. The record is from RNAcentral.
CCUACGGGCGGCAGCAGUGAGGAAUAUUGGUCAAUGGACGAGAGUCUGAACCAGCCAAGUAGCGUGAAGGAUGACUGCCCUAUGGGUUGUAAACUUCUUUUAUAAAGGAAUAAAACGAGGCACGUGUGCCUUUUUGCAUGUACUUUAUGAAUAAGGAUCGGCUAACUCCGUGCCAGCAGCCGCGGUAAUACGGAGGAGCCGAGGGUUAUCCGGUUUUAGUGGGUUAAAGGGGUGCGUAGGCGGACUAUUAAGUCAGCGGUAAAAGCCCGGGGCUAAACCCCGGCGAGCCGUUGAAACUGGGUGUCUAGAGAUGACGAGAGGUAUGCGGAAUGCGCAGUGUAGCGGUGAAAUGCUUAGAUAUUGCGCAGAACUCCGAUUGCGAAGGCAGCAUACCGGCGGCGAUCUGACGCUGAGGCACGAAAGCGUGGGUAUCGAACAGGAUUAGAUACCCCAGUAGUC